CAGUCGCCACGGGAAUACGUAGGUGGCAAGCGUUGUCCGGAAUUAUUGGGCGUAAAGGGCUCGCAGGCGGUUUCUUAAGUCUGAUGUGAAAGCCCCCGGCUCAACCGGGGAGGGUCAUUGGAAACUGGGAAACUUGAGUACAGAAGAGGAGAGUGGAAUUCCACGUGUAGCGGUGAAAUGCGUAGAGAUGUGGAGGAACACCAGUGGCGAAGGCGACUCUCUGGUCUGUAACUGACGCUGAGGAGCGAAAGCGUGGGGAGCGAACAGGAUUAGAUACCCGGGUAGUCCCUGUCUCUUAUAC
Molecule: ribosomal RNA, 301 nt
Filed under: uncultured bacterium
Lineage: Bacteria
Description: partial 16S ribosomal RNA
Rfam family: Bacterial small subunit ribosomal RNA
Source: RNAcentral